Molecule: ribosomal RNA, 519 nt
Filed under: uncultured eukaryote
Lineage: Eukaryota
Description: SSU rRNA
Rfam family: Eukaryotic small subunit ribosomal RNA
Source: RNAcentral
AGGGCACCACCAGGAGUGGAGCCUGCGGCUUAAUUUGACUCAACACGGGAAAACUUACCCGGCCCGGACACUGGAAGGAUUGACAGAUUGGGAGCUCUUUCUUGAUUCAGUGGGUGGUGGUGCAUGGCCGUUCUUAGUUGGUGGAGCGAUUUGUCUGGUUAAUUCCGAUAACGAACGAGACUCUAGCCUACUAAAUAGACCAGAGGCUUCUUAAAACACGUCUCUGGCUGCUUCUUAGAGGGACAGGCGGCGAUUCAGCCGCACGAAACAGAGCAAUAACAGGUCUGUGAUGCCCUUAGAUGUCCGGGGCCGCACGCGCGCUACACUGAAGUGAUCAGCGUGCUUUUUGUACCCUGCUCUGCCAAGAGUGGGUAACCCAAUGAACCUUCUUCGUGAUUGGGAUAGGGGAUUGUAAUUAUUCCCCUUGAACGAGGAAUUCCCAGUAAGCGCGAGUCAUAAGCUCGCGUUGAUUACGUCCCUGCCCUUUGUACACACCGCCCGUCGCUACUACCGAUUGAA